This 253-nucleotide ribosomal RNA is filed under the name uncultured bacterium. RNAcentral describes it as "partial 16S ribosomal RNA". It matches the Rfam family "Bacterial small subunit ribosomal RNA", at positions 524 to 776 of the family's 1533-position model. The record is from RNAcentral.
UACGAAGGGGGCUAGCGUUGUUCGGAAUUACUGGGCGUAAAGGGCGCGUAGGCGGUGUGUCAAGUCAGGCGUGAAAGCCCCGGGCUCAACCUGGGAACUGCAUUUGUGACUGCAUGGCUGGAGUGCGGCAGAGGGGGAUGGAAUUCCGCGUGUAGCAGUGAAAUGCGUAGAUAUGCGGAGGAACACCGAUGGCGAAGGCAAUCCCCUGGGCCUGCACUGACGCUCAUGCACGAAAGCGUGGGGAGCAAACAGG